UGAAGCUUAAAAAUUGAAGAACAUAAAACCAGCAAACUUGCACAACAUACUGCACAACUUAUGCACUUUCACGCCAACCUUAUGCAGCUUCACGAAAGGAGCUUUCAAACUGUCGAAACUUAUACAACAUGCUGCACAGCUUGUGCAAGUCGAUUGUGCACCUUCACAGAAAAUUGUCAGGCAUGCAGAAACUUGCACUACCUCUUGCAUAGCUUGUACAGUUCGGUUGUGCACUUUCACAGAAGAACUCCAAACAUGUUGAAACCUGCCUGUGCACCUUCACGGGAAGCCUAUGGAGACCGCCAAAUGCACACAAGAUCCUGCAUAACCACUUGCACAGCCUGUGCAUACCCUCAUUAAAUUUUUGAAGGUAGAAUUUUCUCACAUA
RNAcentral lists this unclassified non-coding RNA (388 nucleotides) under Hevea brasiliensis (rubber tree). Lineage: Eukaryota; Viridiplantae; Streptophyta; Magnoliopsida; Malpighiales; Euphorbiaceae. The record is from RNAcentral.